This 376-nucleotide ribosomal RNA is filed under the name uncultured bacterium. RNAcentral describes it as "bacterial SSU rRNA". It matches the Rfam family "Bacterial small subunit ribosomal RNA", at positions 523 to 898 of the family's 1533-position model. The record is from RNAcentral.
AUACGUAGGUCCCGAGCGUUAUCCGGAUUUAUUGGGCGUAAAGCGAGCGCAGGCGGUUAGAUAAGUCUGAAGUUAAAGGCUGUGGCUUAACCAUAGUACGCUUUGGAAACUGUUUAACUUGAGUGCAGAAGGGGAGAGUGGAAUUCCAUGUGUAGCGGUGAAAUGCGUAGAUAUAUGGAGGAACACCGGUGGCGAAAGCGGCUCUCUGGUCUGUAACUGACGCUGAGGCUCGAAAGCGUGGGGAGCAAACAGGAUUAGAUACCCUGGUAGUCCACGCCGUAAACGAUGAGUGCUAGGUGUUGGGUCCUUUCCGGGACUCAGUGCCGCAGCUAACGCAUUAAGCACUCCGCCUGGGGAGUACGACCGCAAGGUUGAA